This 694-nucleotide ribosomal RNA is filed under the name uncultured Bacteroidota bacterium. RNAcentral's name for it is "bacterial SSU rRNA". It matches the Rfam family "Bacterial small subunit ribosomal RNA", at positions 798 to 1504 of the family's 1533-position model. The record is from RNAcentral. Lineage: Bacteria; Pseudomonadati; Bacteroidota.
CGCCGUAAACGAUGAUUACUCGUUGUGCACAAUACAUCGUGCGUGACUGAGCGAAAGCAUUAAGUAAUCCACCUGGGGAGUACGUUCGCAAGAAUGAAACUCAAAGGAAUUGACGGGGGCCCGCACAAGCGGAGGAACAUGUGGUUUAAUUCGAUGAUACGCGAGGAACCUUACCUGGACUUAAAUGUAGAUUGACCGGUCUGGAAACGGAUCUUCUCUUCGGAGCAAUUUACAAGGUGCUGCAUGGUUGUCGUCAGCUCGUGCCGUGAGGUGUCGGGUUAAGUCCCAUAACGAGCGCAACCCCUAUCGUUAGUUGCUAGCAGGUAAUGCUGAGGACUCUAGCGAGACUGCCACCGUAAGGUGAGAGGAAGGUGGGGAUGACGUCAAAUCAGCACGGCCCUUACGUCCAGGGCUACACACGUGUUACAAUGGCCAGUACAAAGGGCAGCUACCUGGUGACAGGAUGCUAAUCUCAAAAGCUGGUCUCAGUUCGGAUCGGAGUCUGCAACUCGACUCCGUGAAGUUGGAUUCGCUAGUAAUCGUAUAUCAGCAAUGAUACGGUGAAUACGUUCCCGGGCCUUGUACACACCGCCCGUCAAGCCAUGGAAGCCGAGAGUGCCUGAAGUACGUUACCGCAAGGAGCGUCCUAGGGUAAAAUUGGUAACUGGGGCUAAGUCGUAACAAGGUAGCCGUA